This 362-nucleotide ribosomal RNA is filed under the name uncultured fungus. Its description in RNAcentral is "eukaryotic LSU rRNA". It matches the Rfam family "Eukaryotic large subunit ribosomal RNA", at positions 40 to 398 of the family's 3401-position model. The record is from RNAcentral. Lineage: Eukaryota; Fungi.
AUAUCAAUAAGCGGAGGAAAAGAAACCAACAGGGAUUGCCUUAGUAACGGCGAGUGAAGCGGCAACAGCUCAAAUUUGAAAUCUGGCUUCUCCGAAGUCCGAGUUGUAAUUUGUAGAGGAUGUUUCGGUUCUGGCUCUGGUCUAAGUUCCUUGGAACAGGAUGUCAUAGAGGGUGAGAACCCCGUAUGUGACUGGAAGCCGGCAACCAUGUGAAACUCCUUCGACGAGUCGAGUUGUUUGGGAAUGCAGCUCAAAAUGGGUGGUAAAUUUCAUCUAAAGCUAAAUACUGGCCAGAGACCGAUAGCGCACAAGUAGAGUGAUCGAAAGAUGAAAAGUACUUUGGAAAGAGAGUUAAACAGUAC